RNAcentral lists this ribosomal RNA (253 nucleotides) under uncultured bacterium. RNAcentral describes it as "partial 16S ribosomal RNA". It matches the Rfam family "Bacterial small subunit ribosomal RNA", at positions 524 to 776 of the family's 1533-position model. The record is from RNAcentral.
UACAGAGGUCUCAAGCGUUGUUCGGAUUCAUUGGGCGUAAAGGGUGCGUAGGCGGCGCGGUAAGUCGGGGGUGAAAUCUGGCCGCUUAACGGCCAGGCGCCAUCCCAUACGGCGCGACUGGAGUGAUGCAGAGGUCGAUGGAAUUGCCGGUGUAGUGGUGAAAUGCGUAGAGAUCGGCAGGAACACCCAGGGGGAAACCAGUCGACUGGGCAUCUACUGACGCUGAGGUGCGAGAGCGUGGGGAGCAAACAGG